UACAGGCGCGAAUAAAAAAUCAGCAAAAUCUUUUAUUUUCACUUCGCGCUCCCCAGACUUCCCCCUCUCAGUAAAAACUUUUUACUUAUCCUAGCUUUCCAAACGAUUCAUCGCUCCUUCUCUCUCUCAAAACCCUUGAUAUUCCUAAACUCCUAAAACACUCAUCGCUCAAAAUCAAGCAUCCUCCGGCUAAAUAAUAUUCUUGUCGAUCUCUGGGAAUUAUUCAGCUACAUCAAGAGUAUGUUUCUUCACUUCUUAUGUUCUGUUUCGAUUUUUUUAUAAUGAAGUUCAAAAUUGUUUUCCGUCCGUUUCCUUUUUUUCUUUCGCUGUUUUUUACCUAAGGUUCUUUGAUUGAGUUUUUUCUUAGUUGGUAUACUAAUUUUUGUUGUAUGGAAGUAAUAAGUGAGGAUGUUGGAUUUGAUGUUGGUGCUUGAAAGGAAAGAACCUGUUCCACCAUUAUUUUUUUUGCAAUAAUAAUUGUUUUUGUGUGAAACCCCUAAUCUUUUAAUUUUUUUUUGGGAAAGAAGUUCAUAAUAGAUCUAUUUUUUGUGCUGGAGCAAGAAUUUCUGUUUAACUGAAUCGAUCGAUUUUGUGUUGAUGUCUCAAUUUUAUGGACUUGAAGUUGUAGUUUAACAGUAUUAAGUAAACACCUUGUAUGUUUGUUUAACAACGUUAUGGCCUACUUCAUCGAUUAGGCAUAUACUGGAAGCAUUAGUUCCGAUGAAACCUGCAUCUUCUGAGUUUUGAAUUUACAGAGAAUAGUUCUGAGUUUUCUUAUUUUCUCUACUUCCAUUUUCGCUCUGGUUUUGUUUUCAAUCUUCUCCUCUUAUUCUAAUCUCGUCUAUGUUGUUCCAAAUUUCUCGAAUGUCCCGCAAGUGUCGAGGAGUACUCUUAACCUUUGAUAGUCAAAGCAUGAAGCGUGCAACUGUACCAGAUUACAUGAUCUCCAUUCUAUCUGAAGUAGUUUAUGGUGUCUAUGAUGUAUAUCUAUAUGUUUGAGUAGUAUAUUUGUCAGUUUCUGCUAGUGCCAAUAUUUACAUGAUGCUCGUAGUAUACAUGUUAUUUUUUAUCCUCCCCAAGAAUUUUCAUAUUUUAGCGUAAAUAUUUAAUUUAGAUCUAAUAUAGCUAUUUCACCUUAUUUUG
RNAcentral lists this long non-coding RNA (1143 nucleotides) under Nicotiana benthamiana. RNAcentral describes it as "long non-coding RNA (NBEN_LNC002838)". Lineage: Eukaryota; Viridiplantae; Streptophyta; Magnoliopsida; Solanales; Solanaceae. The record is from RNAcentral.